RNAcentral lists this ribosomal RNA (501 nucleotides) under uncultured bacterium. Its description in RNAcentral is "partial 16S ribosomal RNA". It matches the Rfam family "Bacterial small subunit ribosomal RNA", at positions 29 to 523 of the family's 1533-position model. The record is from RNAcentral.
AUUGAACGCUGGCGGCAUGCCCUACACAUGCAAGUCGAACGGCAGCACGGGUGCUUGCACCUGGUGGCGAGUGGCGAACGGGUGAGUAAUACAUCGGAACGUACCUUAUCGUGGGGGAUAACGCAGCGAAAGCUGUGCUAAUACCGCAUACGCCCUGAGGGGGAAAGCGGGGGAUCGAAAGACCUCGCGCGAUUAGAGCGGCCGAUGCCUGAUUAGCUUGUUGGUGGGGUAAAAGCCCACCAAGGCGACGAUCAGUAGCUGGUCUGAGAGGACGAUCAGCCACACUGGGACUGAGACACGGCACAGACUCCGACGGGAGGCAGCAGUGGGGAAUUUUGGACAAUGGGGGCAACCCUGAUCCAGCAAUGCCGCGUGAGUGAAGAAGGCCUUCGGGUUGUAAAGCUCUUUUGUCAGGGAAGAAACACCGGCUCUAACACAGUCCGGGAAUGACGGUACCUGAAGAAUAAGCACCGGCUAACUACGUGCCAGCAGCCGCUGUAA